RNAcentral lists this ribosomal RNA (305 nucleotides) under uncultured bacterium. Its description in RNAcentral is "bacterial SSU rRNA". It matches the Rfam family "Bacterial small subunit ribosomal RNA", at positions 338 to 659 of the family's 1533-position model. The record is from RNAcentral.
CCUACGGGGGGCAGCAGUCGGGAAUAUUGCGCAAUGGAGGAAACUCUGACGCAGUGACGCCGCGUAUAGGAAGAAGGUUUUCGGAUUGUAAACUAUUGUCAUUAGGGAAGAUAAAAGACUGUACCUAAGGAGGAAGCCCCGGCUAACUAUGUGCCAGCAGCCGCGGUAAUACAUAGGGGGCAAGCGUUACUCGGAAUCACUGGGCGUAAAGAGCGCGUAGGCGGGAUAGCAAGUCAGAUGUGAAAUCCGGGGGCUCAACCCCCGAACUGCAUUUGAAACUGUUGGUCUUGAGUAUCGGAGAGGCA